This 253-nucleotide ribosomal RNA is filed under the name uncultured bacterium. RNAcentral describes it as "partial 16S ribosomal RNA". It matches the Rfam family "Bacterial small subunit ribosomal RNA", at positions 524 to 776 of the family's 1533-position model. The record is from RNAcentral.
UACGAAGGGGGCUAGCGUUGCUCGGAAUCACUGGGCGUAAAGCGCACGUAGGCGGAUUGUUAAGUCAGGGGUGAAAUCCUGGAGCUCAACUCCAGAACUGCCUUUGAUACUGGCGAUCUUGAGUCCGGGAGAGGUGAGUGGAACUGCGAGUGUAGAGGUGAAAUUCGUAGAUAUUCGCAAGAACACCAGUGGCGAAGGCGGCUUACUGGUCCGGAACUGACGCUGAGGUGCGAAAGCGUGGGGAGCAAACAGG